RNAcentral lists this ribosomal RNA (255 nucleotides) under Escherichia coli. RNAcentral's name for it is "partial 23S ribosomal RNA". It matches the Rfam family "Bacterial large subunit ribosomal RNA", at positions 2542 to 2796 of the family's 2925-position model. The record is from RNAcentral. Lineage: Bacteria; Pseudomonadati; Pseudomonadota; Gammaproteobacteria; Enterobacterales; Enterobacteriaceae.
ACAUCCUGGGGCUGAAGUAGGUCCCAAGGGUAUGGCUGUUCGCCAUUUAAAGUGGUACGCGAGCUGGGUUUAGAACGUCGUGAGACAGUUCGGUCCCUAUCUGCCGUGGGCGCUGGAGAAUUGAGGGUGGCUGCUCCUAGUACGAGAGGACCGGAGUGGACGCAUCACUGGUGUUCGGGUUGUCAUGCCAAUGGCACUGCCCGGUAGCUAAAUGCGGAAGAGAUAAGUGCUGAAAGCAUCUAAGCACGAAACUUG